GCCGGGCGUGGUGGCGCACGCCUGUCAUCCCAGCACUCGGAGGCUGAGGCAGGAGGAUCGCUGGGAGUUCGAGACCAACCUGGGCUUCAAGGCCAGCCUGAGCUGCACAGCGAGACCCUGCCUCAG
Molecule: non-coding RNA, 126 nt
Filed under: Cavia porcellus (domestic guinea pig)
Lineage: Eukaryota; Metazoa; Chordata; Mammalia; Rodentia; Caviidae
Source: Rfam by way of RNAcentral